GCAAUGUGCUAGACUGCAGUGGCAACUCCCAGUCAAGUCUCUAUUUGUUUACAAGCCUUGUUGCCACAGGAGCCAGGUGCUUUCCAUGUUCAGCCCUGGCUCCUGCCAUGAGCAGCAUGUCCAGCCUGCAGGGGCUGCCAGCAGCCACUGACUAAUAGGACCGUCUUGACCCUGGUGACAGAAGGCAGUGUCUUGCUGAUCUGCAUAACCCUUGGCAAGCAGCAGCUGCAGAGCAGCAGAGGAGGGUCACUGCAUAGCUGUGUGACUCA
Molecule: long non-coding RNA, 269 nt
Filed under: Numida meleagris (helmeted guineafowl)
Lineage: Eukaryota; Metazoa; Chordata; Aves; Galliformes; Numididae
Description: lncRNA (ENSNMEG00000005721.1)
Source: RNAcentral